Capsicum annuum is the source of this 712-nucleotide long non-coding RNA. RefSeq lists it as uncharacterized. The record is from RefSeq and is a predicted model, not a curated record. Lineage: Eukaryota; Viridiplantae; Streptophyta; Magnoliopsida; Solanales; Solanaceae. The transcript has 2 exons.
CCAUUAUCACCUUUAAUCAAUUAAAAAUAACAGAAACAUCAGCAAUAUAACCAACACAUCCCUAAAUCUCCUCUUCUUCAUGUGAAAUUCAACCAAACCAAGCUUCCAUCACCUCAAUCACAGCAAAUCCGCUGAAAUCCUUGGCUUUUACAGACCCAAUUGUCUUCUCUAUCACUUCAAGAUGAAGACUUCUACUCCUUUUCUCUCUCUUUUUAUUUUUUGAAUUUUCAAUUUUAUCUUCUUGAAGAAGCUAUUGGAGCUACGUUAUUCGCCUAUAAAUACAACCUCCUAUUCCUUCAUUGGGGGAGGAGACAUCAAGUUCCCUGUUUACCUUUAUUUUCUCAAUUGGAGUUGAAUUCGAGUUCGAAUUGAUGAGGUCAUGAUCUCGUCAGAAUUUGACGUUGGAUCCCCUAGUUCACUGCACAACAUCCACUGUUUGUAUUGUUAUCAAUGAGGAGUUUGAUAGAAAUAAUGUAAGCCAGCAGCCUGAAACUCAAACAACUCUUCUAUUCUCUUUCGUCCAGAUGGAUUCAUCGAUUAAGGAUGUCAUGUUCAUCCAAUGUCUCAUAUUUCACAUAUGUGUGUUGUUUCUGUAUAAAUCUUGAAAAUAAAGUAUGUUUAAUUAUCUGUUAUAACAGGCAUGUUUGAUAGACUACCCUUUCCUGUGUAUGUAUCAUAACCGUAUUAUAUUAAUAUAUAUGUCUUGUUCAAA